Molecule: transfer RNA, 72 nt
Filed under: Camelus ferus (Wild Bactrian camel)
Lineage: Eukaryota; Metazoa; Chordata; Mammalia; Artiodactyla; Camelidae
Rfam family: tRNA
About the family: Transfer RNA (tRNA) molecules are approximately 80 nucleotides in length. Their secondary structure includes four short double-helical elements and three loops (D, anti-codon, and T loops). Further hydrogen bonds mediate the characteristic L-shaped molecular structure. tRNAs have two regions of fundamental functional importance: the anti-codon, which is responsible for specific mRNA codon recognition, and the 3' end, to which the tRNAs corresponding amino acid is attached (by aminoacyl-tRNA synthetases). tRNAs cope with the degeneracy of the genetic code in two manners: having more than one tRNA (with a specific anti-codon) for a particular amino acid; and 'wobble' base-pairing, i.e. permitting non-standard base-pairing at the 3rd anti-codon position.
Source: Rfam by way of RNAcentral
GAGGGCAUAGCCCAGUGACAGAGCACGUGCUUAGCAUGCACAAGGCCCUGGGCUCAAUCCCCAGUGCCUCCA